RNAcentral lists this ribosomal RNA (255 nucleotides) under uncultured bacterium. Its description in RNAcentral is "partial 16S ribosomal RNA". It matches the Rfam family "Bacterial small subunit ribosomal RNA", at positions 524 to 776 of the family's 1533-position model. The record is from RNAcentral.
UACAGAGGGUGCGAGCGUUAAUCGGAGUUACUGGGCGUAAAGGGCGCGUAGGCGGCCUUCUAAGUCAGACGUGAAAUCCCUCGGCUCAACCGAGGAACUGCGUCUGAUACUGGAAGGCUUGAAUCCGGGAGAGGGAUGUGGAAUUCCAGGUGUAGCGGUGAAAUGCGUAGAUAUCUGGAGGAACACCGGUGGCGAAGGCGGCAUCCUGGACCGGUAUUGACGCUGAGGCGGCGAAAAGCUAGGGGAGCAAACGGG